This 345-nucleotide ribosomal RNA is filed under the name Triticum aestivum (bread wheat). Its description in RNAcentral is "partial small subunit ribosomal RNA". The record is from RNAcentral. Lineage: Eukaryota; Viridiplantae; Streptophyta; Magnoliopsida; Poales; Poaceae.
AUGUGGAGCAGUCGUUUUCUCACAACAGUAUGUGUGCGUGGUGAGACGGUGAGAGACACUCACUUUGCUUUCUCUGCCGCACGCCGCCGGCCGCCUUGUUUGGAGCAGGGCGCAUGCCGCCGGCUGCCUUCUCUCGAGCAGGACGCAUCCUCUCCCGCCACGACGUCUUCUGCCCCCCUCCCCCUCCCCGCACCACCACCACCACCACCACCACGGCCUCACCCCGUCUCCUAUCCCCACGACGGCCUCGCCUCGCCGGCUCUUAUCCCCACCACGGCCUCGCCCCGCUGCCUCCUCUCACCACCGCGGACUUGUCUUGCCGCCAACCCCGUGGAUCUUCCCUAG